RNAcentral lists this unclassified non-coding RNA (294 nucleotides) under uncultured Dothideomycetes. Its description in RNAcentral is "sequence contains ITS1". The stretch from base 1 to 105 matches the Rfam family "5.8S ribosomal RNA", at positions 50 to 154 of the family's 154-position model. Lineage: Eukaryota; Fungi; Ascomycota; Dothideomycetes. The record is from RNAcentral.
GAAAUGCGAUAAGUAAUGUGAAUUGCAGAAUUCAGUGAAUCAUCGAAUCUUUGAACGCAUAUUGCGCCCCUUGGUAUUCCUUGGGGCACACCUGUUCGAGCGUCAUUUCACCAAUCAAGCCUCGCUUGGUUUUGGGCGAUGCGCACGUCGCACGCCUCAAAUGCCCCGGCCGAGCAGUCUCUCACCCGGCGUCGUGGAAACAUACCGCUACGGAGACGAGACCUGCCCGUGCCGCAGAAUAACCUAUUAACAAAGGUUGACCUCGGAUCAGGUGGGGAUACCCGCUGAACUUAA